UGGGGAAUCUUGCGCAAUGGGCGAAAGCCUGACGCAGCCAUGCCGCGUGAAUGAUGAAGGUCUUAGGAUUGUAAAAUUCUUUCACCGGGGACGAUAAUGACGGUACCCGGAGAAGAAGCCCCGGCUAACUUCGUGCCAGCAGCCGCGGUAAUACGAAGGGGGCUAGCGUUGCUCGGAAUUACUGGGCGUAAAGGGCGCGUAGGCGGAUCGUUAAGUCAGAGGUGAAAUCCCAGGGCUCAACCCUGGAACUGCCUUUGAUACUGGCGAUCUUGAGUAUGAGAGAGGUAUGUGGAACUCCGAGUGUAGAGGUGAAAUUCGUAGAUAUUCGGAAGAACACCAGUGGCGAAGGCGACAUACUGGCUCAUUACUGACGCUGAGGCGCGAAAGCAUGGGGAGCAAACAGG
RNAcentral lists this ribosomal RNA (404 nucleotides) under Actinomycetes bacterium. RNAcentral describes it as "Actinobacteria bacterium partial 16S ribosomal RNA". It matches the Rfam family "Bacterial small subunit ribosomal RNA", at positions 355 to 776 of the family's 1533-position model. The record is from RNAcentral. Lineage: Bacteria; Bacillati; Actinomycetota; Actinomycetes.